Molecule: non-coding RNA, 248 nt
Organism: Biomphalaria pfeifferi
Lineage: Eukaryota; Metazoa; Mollusca; Gastropoda; Planorbidae
Source: the annotation of a GenBank genome assembly
AGUGUUUAUAAAUUAAUUCCACCUGGAAUGUCCUAUUAUAUUAUUUAAAAAUAAAAGCAUUUACAUGUUCUUUUUCCAUAUACUAGGACUAAUGUUCCUUCUUCCCUAGUGCCAUUAGAACAUGAAACAGGUUGCCUGAAUCAGCAUGGAAGACGUGACUUAGGAAGUCCCUAAUUAACUAAGUUAGCACGACUAGAUUAACACAUCAAUAGGCAGAGGACACAAUUUUUUUUUUUAAAGGAACAUCU